This 240-nucleotide ribosomal RNA is filed under the name uncultured bacterium. Its description in RNAcentral is "partial 16S ribosomal RNA". It matches the Rfam family "Bacterial small subunit ribosomal RNA", at positions 15 to 245 of the family's 1533-position model. The record is from RNAcentral.
GAUCAUGGCUCAGGAUGAACGCUAGCUACAGGCUUAACACAUGCAAGUCGAGGGGCAGCGGGAUUGAAGCUUGCUUCAAUUGCCGGCGACCGGCGCACUGGUGAGUAACGCGUAUCCAACCUUCCGCUUACGUCGGGGGUAGCCUUUCGAAAGAAAGAUUAAUACCCGAUGGUAUCUUAAGCACGCAUGAGAUUAAGAUUAAAGAUUUAUCGGUAAGCGAUGGGGAUGCGUUCCAUUAGG